AAACCAUAUUCAACAAUAGGUCCUUUUAGUUACCAAACUAUCAAGGAUAAUAGGGAAGUUGGUGAAAAUCCAACGCGGUCCCGCCACUGUAAAUGCUAAAGUGACUUUCACAAGUGCCACUGUACAAGGAUGUAUGGGAAGGUUGAAAGUCAUGCUUGAAGUAUUAGCCAGGAGACCUGCCUAUUGUGGUGUAUAAGA
This 198-nucleotide non-coding RNA is filed under the name Metabacillus harenarius. The record is from RNAcentral. Lineage: Bacteria; Bacillati; Bacillota; Bacilli; Caryophanales; Bacillaceae.